CAGAGUUUGAUCCUGGCUCAGGACGAACGCUGGCGGCGUGCUUAACACAUGCAAGUCGAGCGGUAAGGCCCUUCGGGGUACACGAGCGGCGAACGGGUGAGUAACACGUGAGCAACCUGCCCCUGACUCCGGGAUAAGCGGUGGAAACGCCGUCUAAUACCGGAUACGACCCGCCACCUCAUGGUGGAGGGUGGAAAGUUUUUCGGUCAGGGAUGGGCUCGCGGCCUAUCAGCUUGUUGGUGGGGUAACGGCCUACCAAGGCGAUUACGGGUAGCCGGCCUGAGAGGGCGACCGGCCACACUGGGACUGAGACACGGCCCAGACUCCUGCGGGAGGCAGCAGUGGGGAAUAUUGCGCAAUGGGCGAAAGCCUGACGCAGCGACGCCGCGUGGGGGAUGACGGCCUUCGGGUUGUAAACCUCUUUUACCACCAACGCAGGCUCCCAGUUCUCUGGGGGUUGACGGUAGGUGGGGAAUAAGGACCGGCUAACUACGUGCCAGCAGCCGCGGUAAUACGUAGGGUCCGAGCGUUGUCCGGAAUUAUUGGGCGUAAAGAGCUCGUAGGCGGCGUGUCGCGUCUGCUGUGAAAGACCGGGGCUUAACUCCGGUUCUGCAGUGGAUACGGGCAUGCUAGAGGUAGGUAGGGGAGACUGGAAUUCCUGGUGUAGCGGUGAAAUGCGCAGAUAUCAGGAGGAACACCGGUGGCGAAGGCGGGUCUCUGGGCCUUACCUGACGCUGAGGAGCGAAAGCAUGGGGAGCGAACAGGAUUAGAUACCCUGGUAGUCCAUGCCGUAAACGUUGGGCGCUAGGUGUGGGGACUUUCCACGGUUUCCGCGCCGUAGCUAACGCAUUAAGCGCCCCGCCUGGGGAGUACGGCCGCAAGGCUAAAACUCAAAGGAAUUGACGGGGGCCCGCACAAGCGGCGGAGCAUGUUGCUUAA
RNAcentral lists this ribosomal RNA (939 nucleotides) under Nocardiopsis sp. ZZY-2013. RNAcentral's name for it is "bacterial SSU rRNA". It matches the Rfam family "Bacterial small subunit ribosomal RNA", at positions 8 to 949 of the family's 1533-position model. The record is from RNAcentral. Lineage: Bacteria; Bacillati; Actinomycetota; Actinomycetes; Streptosporangiales; Nocardiopsidaceae.